Molecule: long non-coding RNA, 196 nt
Organism: Eutrema salsugineum
Lineage: Eukaryota; Viridiplantae; Streptophyta; Magnoliopsida; Brassicales; Brassicaceae
Exons: 3
Source: RefSeq, a predicted model, not a curated record
GGUUUUGAAAUUUUUAAUGGAAAGAAAUAGCAUAAGUGCUCUACAUGGCCAGAUAACCGUUGGAACUCUUAUCCUUCAGGACUGUGCUGUGGGUUUGCUUUUUGCUCUCCUUCCCGUUCUUGGUGGCACAUCUGGUGUCCUACAAGGAGUGUUGUCCAUGGCUAAAUCGUUGGCUAUUUUGAUUGCGUUUUUGGCU